CAACGCUCCAAAACUUGGCAUAGAUGAUGAAAGCCCCCACUUGAAGCUCUCCAAAAAUUGCCCAACCAAGAGAAAGUGGAAGAAAAAAUGGGCCAAGUCCGGUUUUUUAAAAGAUAACACUGCCCAGCGACCUCUCGCACCUGCGGUCACUUGACCACUUCUGCAGUCCCGCAGGUGUGGCCGAAAUACCGCUUCUGCGGUCCUCCUUCAGGCCCUUUAACUCCGCAUCUGCGGCCCCAUACGCACUUCUGCACCUUCGCUUCUGCGGCUCCACGUGCGCAGGUGCUGUCCAGCUUCUGCGUAUCUCGACUGCAUCUGCGGUCCCAGCUUUCCCCAUCCAGAAGCACGUCUGCAACCCUCUUGGCCGCUUCUGCGGCUCCGCACCUGCGGUCAAAACAUCGCAGGUGCGGUUACACCAGAAGACAGAUGUUUCAGCUUUCCUUUCAAGUCCAAACUCGAUCCGUUAACCAUCCGGAAUCCACACUCGGGACCUCAACCAAAUAUACCAACACGUCCCAAAACACAUUACGAACUUAGUCAAGCCCUCAAAUCAUGCCAAACAACAUCGAAACUACGAAUCACCCUCCAAUUCAAACCUAAUGAACUUUGAAACUUCAAACUUCUACAAUCGAUGUUGAAACAUAUCAAAUCAUAUCUGAUUGACCUCGAAUUUCGCACACAAGUCACAUUAGAUAUUACGGACCUACUACAACUUCCAAAAUUGGAAUACGACCUCGAUAUCAAAAAUUCCACUCCCAGUCAAACUUCCCAAAACCUUCGAAUUCCAACUUUUGCCAAAAGACCCCAAAAUGACCUACGGACCUCCGAAUCCACAUCCGGACGCGCUCCUAAGUCUGGGAUCACUAUGUGGAGCUAUUCCUAGACUCGGAAUUCCAAAAGGACAUCGAUAACAUUAAAAUACACUCCAACCCAAAUUUAUAAAAUCCUUCCAAAAUACCAACUUCCUGAAUAGGUACCGAAACGCUCUCGGGUCAUCCAAUACCCGAUUCGGAUAUACGCCCAAGUCCAAAAUUAUCAUACAAACUGUAACGACCCGACUUAUCGUUUUAAGAAUUAACUCCCCGUUUAGUAACUUAAGGUCUUGAGCAGCUUUGCAAUAUAUAUUAUGACCGGCGGGUGUGGUCGAGUUUGAUUUACUGAAGAUUCGGAAUUUAAGGAAAAGAACAAUCCUUAUUUAUAAGCUUAAAUGGAAAUAGUUGGCCGGAGAGUUGACUUUUGAUCAAACGACUUCGGAAUGGAAUUUUGAUAAUAUAAAUAGCUCUGUAUGGUGAUUAUGGACUUAGGAGCGUGUCCGAAAAAUUAUUUGGAGGCCUGUAAAGGAAUUUGGCCUGAAUAGCGAAAGAUGAAUUUUUAGGAAGUAUGACCGGAGGUUGACUUUUUAAUAUCGGGGUCGAAAUCCGAUUCUGAAAAUUUGAAUACCUCUGUUAUGUCAAUUAUAGAUUGUGUGCAAAAUUUGAAGUCAUUCCAGAUUGAUUUGAUGUGUUUCGGCACAAGAUAUAGAAUUUGAAAGUUUAAGUUCAUAGAUUUUGAUUUGGGGUGCGAUUCGUCGUUUUGAUGUUGUUUGAGGUGAUUUGAGAAUUCGAUUAAGUUUGUAUGAUAUUUUAGGACCUGUUGGUAUAUUUGGUUGAGGUCCCGAGGGGCUCGAGUGAGUUUUGGAUGGUUAACGGAUCAAAAAUUUGGACUUGAACAGCUGCUGAAAUUUUCAGAUAUCUGAUCUUCCUUUCCUUCUACGCGAUCGCGUGAAUGUGUCUGCGAUCGCGUAGGCUUAGUUGGGCAGUGAAAUUUUGUUCUCUGCGAUCGCGUGGGGAUAUUUGCUAUCGCGUAAGGUUAAUUGGGGGGCUGCUGAGUCUUGUUCUGCGCGAUCGCGUGAAGAGGGAUGCGAUCGCAUAGCUCUGGAAAGUUGUGACUCGCGAACGCGUAGCUAUGGUUGCGAUCGCAUAGAGUAACGGAGAAGAAGUGGUGGUCACGCGUUUGCUCUAUGCGAUCGCGUGAAGAGAGUUGCGAUUGCGUAGAGCUGGGAACUCUGUGCAUCACAAUCACGUGGCAUUGUUUGCGAUCGCGUAGAGGUAAUUUUGGCAGUGUUGAAAUUGUGCUUCGCGAUCGCGUGAGGAAGUCCGCGAUCGCGUAGAAGAAAUCACUGAGCAGUGAGUUUAAGUUCGUCCCAUUUUCUAUUUUUGACGGAUUGGAGCUCGGGAAGAGGCGAUUUUCGGGAGUUGUUCAAGGAAAACAACGAGAUAAGUGUUCUUAACUCAAUAUUGGUUAAAUUACCCAAAUACAUGGUUGUUUUUAACAUUUAAUCGAUGAAUUUAGUUGGAAAAAUUGUGAAAACCCUCUCGGUCUAAAUUUAAGAUUUGGAGGUCGAUUUGUUAUUGGAAUUCGAUAAAAUUGGUAUGGUUGAACUCGUACCGGAAUUGGUGUUCGGAUUUCAUGAAAAUUUUGUCGGGUUCCGAGAGGCGAGCCCCACGUUAACUUUUGAUGACUUUUUAGAAAAAAGUUUUAAGUCGAUAUUUUAUUAUCUGAAAUUAUUUCCGAUGAAUUUUAAUGAAGUUAUACAAUUGAAUUGGAUAGAUUUGAACUGUCCGGAGGUCAAUUCUAGCGAGAAGGCGAUUUUGGAAUAUCGGCAUAACUUCAAUAAGGUAAGUGUCUUGCCUAGCCUCGAGUGGAGGAAUUACCCCUUAGGCAUCGAGUCAUAUGUGUCAUAUUGUGUAAUUGAAAACCAUGUACGUGAGGUGAUGAGUACGUACUAGGUUUAUAUGUGCAAAUUAUAUCAGUUGAAAUUCGUAAAUGCCCUUAAGUAUUAAGUUGGAAAAUUAUUGUAACUUAUUAAAUCUCUUAUUUGUCAUGUCUCAUUCCUUGUUUGCCGAAAUUAUUUUUAUGUGAUAAUUUGGUGUGAUUGCCACUUGACUUUUAUGUGAACUCUGUGUUUGUUUGAGUUUCUAUUUUGAUGGAAACACUUUCAUUAUUGAUUUUACCUACAGAUAAUUUAAAUGGAAAAUUUAGUUAAUAAAAUGAAUUACUUUUCAGUUCACAUUGUUGAAACUUUGGUAUUGAAUUAUAAAGGCCAUGAAUCAUAUUGAGGCAAGGUGCCAAAUUGUGAAAUAUUAUUCGGUUGAGUUGUUCACUCCCAAACAUUUUGUUAAGAUGUUGUGCACAUUGUGAUCGAGUCGUGGCUCCUUAUUGUGAAAAAAUGAUAUGUUGUAAUAUUUGAGCACUUGAUGUGGAAUUUGUGAUAUGUUGAAAUAUUUGAGCACUUGAUGUGCAAAUUAUGAUAUGUUGUAAUAUUUGGGUACUUGAGGUGCAAGUUGUAUUAUGCUGUGAUAUUUGGGCACUUGAGGUGCGAUUUGGGAAAUAUUGAUACGCUUGCGGUGAGAUAAGGGUGGCUUGAAACGCAUGGCUAGUAGGGGAACUACUAGAAGUCAUGCGGUGAUAUAAUGUCAGGGUGUUGAAACGCAUGCGGUGAGAUAAGGGUGGCUUGAAACGCGUGACUAAUAGGGGAACUACUAAAAGUCAUGUAGUGUGAUAAGGGUGGCUAAAACGUGGGAUGCUAUUUCGGAAAAAAAAAAUUAAAAUUUAAUGUAAAGGCUUCCGCGGUGAUAUAAAGAAAUGAAAGAUUAUGAAUUUAUUUAUGAUUUGGGACUACGAGGCGGUACCUCGGGAUUGCCCUUUUGUUGAUAUUUCUCUAUGGCUGUACUUGCCUUUGGUUAUUUUAUUUUUCCGUAAUUUGUAAAUUCUUGUGUUCUCCGUGAUGUAUUAUUUCACUUAAUAUUAAGUGUUUUUGUAUUUCUUGAUGUAUUGUGUUGACCUUGACUUUUUUGUACGAGACUUUAAGGAUUUGUAUUUUUGGGUUGUACUUGUUUUGAUGAUUGAGUUUUAAGUGAAAGAAAAUUUUUAGUAUGUUUUAAUUUAAUAAAUUUUAUAUCCAAAUCAGUAUUUUAUCUGAUGUUUAUUUGAAUGGAAAUGUCAUUUUCUUCACUCAAACGAUUUCUAAAAUAAACUUAUAUUUUUGUUGAUUUCUUACUUGAUUUAAAGAUUUUUAGCAUACUUUAUUGAAAAUAAAUUGAUCCUGCAAAUCUUAUAUACAAUGAUGAUAAUAAUAUUGGCACGUGAACUAUCCGUGCAGUUGUGAUAUGAAAAGUAGGCACGAGGUGCCGGGGAAAUAUGAUGAUUUAUUUAUGGGCACGAAGUGCCGUGAAAAUAUGAAAAUGGGCUGAGACCCGUAUUUUUAUGAUUAUGAAAUAAGGUGUCAUAUGGUGACUUUUUAAUUGAAAGAAUUAUAAUCAAAAUAUUUAUUUGGAAGGAUUUUUAUUCAAAAAGAAUUUUAUGAAAGAAUUAUAUUUGAAGAGAUUUAGUGAAAGAAUUUUAUAUUCAAAAGAUGUUUAUUUGAGGAAAUUAUAAUUGAAAAAGAGUUUUAUUCGUAAGAAUUAUAUGCGAAAGAUAUUUAAUUGAAGAACUUGAUUUAAUUGGGUGUAAUUGUAUUUAUCAAUUGAUGAGCGAUAUUAAUGGUGAUUUUAUUGUCUUAUUGUGCAUACCACUGGUUGUUUUAUGUUGCUCUUAUUGUUAUUUGUUUCUUAUUAUUUCAUAUAUCAUAUUACACAGGUUAUUAGACUAAUGAAUGUCUUGACUGUACCUCGUCUGUACUCCAUUGAGGUUAGUCUUGAUACUUACUGGUACUGAUCGUGGUGUACUCAUACUACACUUCUGUACAUUUUUGUGCAGAGCCAGGUAUUGGAGAUAUCGGACUUGGGCAGAGUUUAAGCGGGAUCGUAAGAAUUCAAAGUAGAGCUGCUUGGUCGUCGCAAUCCCUUGGAGUCUUUUCAUUUCAUUGUACUGUUCAUUUUUAAUCAAACAGUAUUGUAUAUUCGGUCCUCGUGAUCAUCCCACCAUGUAUUCAGUUAGAGUUCGUGACUCAGUACUACCAGUCUUGGGAGGUUGUAUAUUCAUAUUUGUUCCGCUGUUAGUUUUGAUUACUUAUUUAAUUUUAAAAAAAUGGCUUCAAAACGUAAUUGAAAUCGGCUUACCUAGUCUUAGAGACUAGGUGUCAUCACAAUGCCUAGUCGGAGAAUCAGGUGGGGAGCCUUAACUAAGGAUAAAGCCCAAGAGUUGGAAGGGCGGUUGUCGGCUAUAGGAGCUUCGAGGAGCAGCGGUGACGCGAGCACUAUGUGGUCAGCGACAACAGACUGUAUUAGGGAGGUUGCGAGAGAGGUGUUAGGAGUCUCAAUGAGCGUCUCUAGUGGGGCACAAAAGAGACUGGUGGUGGAAUGAAGUGGUUCAAGGUAAAGUGGAAGCUAAGAAGGUGACGUACCUGAAGUUAGUGGAGAGCAUAGAUGAGGAGGAGAGGCGAGCAUGCAUGGAGAGGUAUAAGACAGCUAGGAAGGAGGCUAAGCUGGCGGUCACAGAGUAGCUAGUGACAAUGUUGUGUUUUACUGCUUCGCUUUUCAGUGCAUGUCCUAUUUACUAGCUAUCGUUUUUGCUUUGCAUCUUUCUUCUGCAUUUCAUGGUGUUACUAUUUUUUCUAUGAUUGUUGUGGUGAUACUAAUGUUGUCUUCUCUUGUCGUUUUGUCUUUUUGUUUUCUUGAGUCGAGGGUCUUUCGGAAACAGCCUCUCUACUCCUUUGGGGUAGGGGUAAGGUCUACGUACACACUACCCUCCCAGACCCCAUUAGUGGGAUUCUACUGGGUUGUUGUUGUUGUUGUUGUACACGAACCUGUUGGAACUUUCAAAUUCCGAUUCCGAGGUCGUUUACUCAAAAGUUAAACCUUAGUCAAUUCUUCCAACUUAAAACCUCCGAAAUUAAAAUUUUCUCUCCAAAUCAACUCCGAAUUUUCCGAAUUUCAAUUCCGACAACACGUACAAGUCAUAAUAUACGAAGUGAAACUACUCAUGGCCUCAAACCGCCGAAUGACGCGAUAGAGCUCAAAACGACCGGUCGGGUCCUUACAAAAACAUGAACACAAAUAUAGAUACAAUCAAAUCAAUCACUUUUAAGAACUAACGAGAGAAGCAACUUAAGUAAUCCAAAAAUUCUUUAAAAGGUAAAGAUAUCAAGAGCAUAUUGUACCUUGACACACUUCAGUCAUAUUAUUACAUCUGCCAUGUUUACUACUACAAUACUUAUGAAGUAUAUGAUAAUGUUGAUAUCGAUGCAUAUAUUGAGACUAAUGCGUUGUUUACAGCUAGGGGUCAUAUCACAUUGAUAUAAAUAUCUAAGGACCAGAGAUCUCUCCUGCACAUACUGAGAUUAGUACACUUUGCAUUAGUUACAUAUUAAACUUUUCUCUCUGUACAGUUAACAUUCUAAAGCAUGUUUAAUUUCUCAACAUAUUUUUUGUUCGAGUAUCAGGCAACUAUAAUCUACUUUGGAGAUUGUAUAUGUAUUAUAACUGAUAUAUUUAAAGAAAUACAAGAUCUGUAGCCUCUGCAACUGGUAUUCUUGUUAUGACAACUUUAAGACUCCACCAUAAGGAACAAAGUGAUCAAAAAUUUUAUCUUUUGUUCAUAUGGUUCGAGAAUUUCAAUUACAACCAGAUUGUAAUAUAAGAACUACAUUAUAUGUUUUCAAAGAAGUGCUAAUGUUAACUGUUGAAAAGUUGGGAUCGGGUGCUAAAGAUGUUCUAUUUCUUUUCAACAUAUUCUUUAAUAGUAUCCCACAUAUCAUCCUAGUAAAUCAAAUUACAGUUCAUCCUUCUCUCAAAUGAUUAUUAUUUCUCUACUCAAGUUAAAACUAAAUCAUACGUUCAAGAAUCAAGACUAUAUUGCAAUAUAGCCAAUUACCCAAACUUUUCAACCCGUCAUAUAUGUCCUUGUGACCACACAAGAAACUAUCUACGGAACAAAAGCCACAAAACAAAGGACCACGCUUGUUACCAAUUAAAAACAAAAAACAAAAACAAAAUUAGAUUGAUCUAAGAAGAGAAAUCAAGAAGUUACCUUUUAAAGUAUCUACAGAUCGGAAAAGAACAAUAAAUAUAAUAUGUAAUUAACAGAAAAGAAAAUAAAUUAGAAUCACAUUUAAUUAAAUCCAAAUUUAAAGGGGGAAAAACGAAAAAUACAUAAACUGACAAUAAUUCGUAAAAAUGAAUGAUCCACUUUUACCUUGAAUUUGGCUCCAAAUGCCUGAUAAUCGAAUUUCUUUUAGGUAAAAUAUGUGUAACUGGAGUCUCAAGACCCUAAGAAGGAUCAACGAAUUCUCUUCUUUACAGAGAAAGAAAUCACAUCCGUCAUAAAAAUCUUUCAAACACAACGGCACACAGAAUAGUCCCCAACUUCUUCCAAAAUUUCAUGGUAUUGUCACACCUUUCAACUCUAAGUCCUUUAACAGCCAUGGGUGAGAGCUGAACGACGAUUAGAUCUAGCAGUAGUGAGGGUUUGGAAGAGCAGAAGAAGGGAUUUAGGAAUGAUUUUUGCAUCGGCUAGGGUUUUGGGAAAAAGGGGAAGGGAUUUGGGGAAACAAGGGAAAUAAAGAAAACACUGGCAGCGUAUUCUCUUCUUAAGUUUAAGCGAUAUAAUCCAAAAAGAAAAGAAAAAUAUUAGUAAUAUAACUAGUAGCGACUUUGUCGCUACAAAUACGAUUUUGUGGCAAGUAUUUAACGGUCGCUACAAAUUAUUCUUCAGCAAAGUUUCAAAAUAAAAACUUAGUAACUACUAGAGGCGACCUCGUUAAAGUCGC
This 7687-nucleotide long non-coding RNA is filed under the name Nicotiana tabacum (common tobacco). Its description in RNAcentral is "long non-coding RNA (NTAB_LNC007919)". The record is from RNAcentral. Lineage: Eukaryota; Viridiplantae; Streptophyta; Magnoliopsida; Solanales; Solanaceae.